RNAcentral lists this long non-coding RNA (253 nucleotides) under Olea europaea (common olive). Its description in RNAcentral is "long non-coding RNA (OEUR_LNC012621)". Lineage: Eukaryota; Viridiplantae; Streptophyta; Magnoliopsida; Lamiales; Oleaceae. The record is from RNAcentral.
CUGUGGGAAACGGUACGUUAACCAUGUUUCACCACCUCCAAAAAAGCCAUUGGAAAAAGGAUAAUUUUCCGACAGUUCUCUACUCAAGAAUAGCAAAGGCAGCAACCGAAUAAUGAAUACAAAAUGCCACAGCAAGCUAAUAUGAAAGAUGAUAUUUUCCAGUAUGAAAAUUGAAAAAAUCGGUACAUAUAUAGAAGAAAAAAUUGCUAUGGAAGGGCAAUAAUUUCGGGCAGUUCCUCAACCAAGAAGCAAG